CCCAUAGUUGCUUCAGCUCCAACAAAAUGCUCUUCUCAUUUUCGUAGACGUCACUCUGUAAACCACCCUGGAAAUGCAUAAAGGCAAGUAAGGAAACAAUGAAAUGGUAAACUUGUUUCCUGGGAAUUGAAAAUGUAGAUUUUACAACAUGAACAUGGUUAGUUUUCAUGGUUCCUUUGGUUCGAUUGUACUAGCUACCUCAUUCUCUACAAUCUCUUGUUUUAUUUUUUUCAAGUGUUUUGAUUGGAUAGUUAAUUAGCUUUGAAGAAACCGUGUAUCAUACAACACAAGUCAGUCAACAUGGACAAAAAUUGUUGCUGACUAUGAAAGGAAAAUGCUAGCAAAGUUGACUUGACUGACCUUUCUGGCCAAGAAAAAACCAGCAAAGCAAGAAGAUUUUUGCAUUUUCCAGAAAACGAUUAUCAAUAACAUAAUCAACAUGUUUUUGUUUGUAAUCUAAAGAACUGCCAAUUAUUUAUUUGAAUUAUUAAAAUGGGAAAACUCAAUUAGCUCAAAUUCAACAUAAUAUUAAUAAGAAAUAGCUUUUGAACCUAACUCAACUGUAAAAACAAGCUAAGAAUUGUCCGAAACUAUAUAAAGAGACCAAAUCCAUCAUCCCACUACAAUUUUUGUGCAAGCACAAGAAAGUGCACCUACAAAUUCAUUUUCACAGUCUCUUUUUCUUUCUCACAUGACUUCACAUAUUUCAUAAUGAGGGUAUCAAGUCAUCGUGGGUAAGUACAAAGGAAGGGAGGGAGUAAAUUACUAGCUUGACUUAGUCAGAAGGAGACAAUUAUUAUGGCUUGAUUUUUCAAAGCCAAAUACUUGGCUCUGGAUGACUAUUUAAUUGUUGAAAUAUGAUUUCUUUAUUAAAUCCACACUGACUUCACAGACUUCAUUAUCAAAUGAAAAGAAGCACAAGGGAAGCAUCAAUUAACAUGUUCCCAGCAAGCUCUAACCAUUUUUUGCUUAAUAUGCAAAUUUUCUUCCUAAUUAGCCUGUUUUUUCAAGAAACCUUACAAUUUUCGGGCACGGAACAGUCCAUAUUACUAAGCUUGAAACAACACUGGAGGGAUUCGGAGUUCCUCCAGUCAUGGAAUUUGAAUUCUUCAGUAUGCACUUGGUCAGGAGUUUCAUGCCUCGAUGACCGGGUAGUGACACAACUAAAUCUUGGAGAAAAGAACAUUACUGGAACAGUUCCAUCAACAAUAAUAUGUGAGCUUAACAACCUUACCUUCAUUGAUCUCUCCAACAACAACAUUUCAGGAACUAUACCACUAAGCAUGAAAGAUUGCUCAAUGUUACAACAUUUGGACUUGUCCAAGAAUUCUUUGAGCGGACAGAUUCCAGGCGAGUUGUUUGGGAUGAAACAAUUACUCAAUUUGUAUCUUAAUGGUAACAUGUUGUCUGGUGAGAUGCCAAAACAAAUAUCAUCUCAACUGGAAAAUCUUGAUCUUUCUGAGAAUCACUUGAACGGUUCGAUACCAGAAGAUAUUGGAAACUUCAAAAAUCUUUUGAAAUUGGAUCUGUCACAUAAUUCUCUCAGUGGUUCAAUUACAAGCAAGUUGUUUCAGUUGCAUGAUUUGCGUCACCUGUCGCUAAGUUCCAACUACUUGUCCAGUGUGAUACCUGAUGAAAUGGACUUGUUUAGUUUGUAUGAUAUGGAUCUUUCACACAACCAAUUGACUGGUUCUAUACCAAAGCGAUUUAGGGAUUUACCUGGACUGGAUUCUAUGGAUUUGUCUUUUAAUCAGUUAUCAGGAGACAUUUCAAAAAGUAUAGAACGUCUUAGGCCUAGAAAUACUUUAAGGCUUUGUUCCAACAAAUUCUCAGGAAGAAUUUCUACUGAAUUUGUAAAGUUGACAUACGAAGAGAAUUGCUUUGACGAGUCCAAUCUUUGUUCUACAUCCAACAACUUAUACAUCCCCGGCCUACCAAGCUGCUCCUCUGGUGAUGAGGUUCGAAAAUCUUCGAAACCAAAACACUUGAUUAUUCCUAUUGUAGGAGUUGGGGUAGCUACACAGUUAUCAUGGAUCUUUUACAGAACAAGAAAGCAUUGGUGGAAAACAAAGAAGCAGAAUGUCAAAGAUGACAUGAAGUUCAUUUCAUUUCAAAAGUUGAAGGUGACUACAGAAGACAUUUUAUCUAGCUUGAAAGACGAAAACAUAAUAGGAAAUGGAGGAUCAGGGAAGGUCUAUCGAGUUGUGAUCGACCAAACAGGCAAUACUUACGCUGUUAAAAGCAUAGGGCAUGGAAAAAAAUCAGGUGAAAGACCCCAAAAGGAGUUCCUGGCAGAAGUUAGAACACUUGGUAGCAUUCGACACAACAACAUUGUCAAGCUCAUGUGUUGCAUCUCAAGUGUAGACAGAAAGCUUCUAGUCUAUGAAUACUUUGAGAAACAAAGCCUCGACAAGUGGCUUCACAGAAAGAAAAGAGAAGCGUCACCCGGUCAAAGUAGUACCCCAUCCCUGGAUUGGCAAAAGAGAUUAAAAAUAGCCACUGGUGCAGCUCAAGGACUCAGCUAUAUGCACCACGACUGUACUCGACCCAUCAUUCAUAGAGACAUUAAGUCCAGCAAUAUACUUCUGGACUCAGAAUUCAAUGCAAAAAUAGCAGAUUUUGGACUAGCAAAAAUACUAUCCAGGCGGGAUGAUAAUCCUGAGACAGCUUCUGCUAUUGCUGGAACAUUUGGUUACAUUGCACCAGGUCUAUUACCGUUCAAAUAUAUAUCGUACCUCGUGAAUUCUCAAAAGAAUUUAUCCAACUCUAAUAUUAAAUUUUAAUGUUUGGUCCUCACAGAGUAUGCCUCGACAUUCAGAGUGAAUAUAAAGACAGAUAUAUAUAGCUUCGGAGUGGUGCUAUUAGAAUUAACAACAGGGAGACAACCCAUUCUCAGGGAGGAGCAAAUGAAUCUGGCACAAUGGGCUCAACAGCGUUACAGAGAUGGAAAUUUCAUUGUUGAGGCCCUUGAUGAAGAAAUCAUGGAAACAAGUAAUGUGGAACAAAUGAGAGGUGUUUUUAAACUAGGACUGAUGUGUACUGGAGCAACACCAUACGGUAGGCCGUCAAUGAAGGAGGUCUGCAACAUUCUUCAAAGCUUCAGAGACACCAUAUUUUGAGAAAACAGAAUGUUUAGCCUUACAUGGAUAAAUGUAGUUGUAUUUUUUUAACAGAAUGAGAAAGUCUCAAUAGCCUCAGCUGGUUUAAGUGGUGUCAAACACAAGGGCUUGUAAGCUUUACCUUAGAAUGUAAUUCCUUGUUCAUAAUUGAGAUGUCGCGAGGCAAGAGCUAAGUGUCUUGGCAAUUACAGUUUAUGUAUAUAUCAUUCGGGAGAUUAGACAGAUUUUAAGCACACUGAGCAUUAAGGUCUAACAAUGCUUUAGGAAAGUAAUCAUGAUAUCCGCAUGGAGGUUAGAAUCAUAUCUUCUUCUUUUUUUAACUCUUCAGAACUCCCUAAGGAAGCUUUUGGAACUUACAGGUUUGAUGAACUGCAAAUGCCUUCUUUCAGAUAUAAAUCCUUCUCAUGAUACAUGGGGAUAAUCUUGUAGGAAGUCUAGUUCUUUUAGUUAAGUUGAAUGGGAUCGUCCAUUUUCGAAAAGGGGGCACAACUUGAAGGCAUAAUUGAUUGGAAAAAAAAUAAUCGAAAGAUAUAGGAGAGUGUUUUUUAAAUGAAUAAGUCCUUAUUGUAGUUGAGGAGAUGAUAAUCAACUUCAAGAAGAACUUUCAUCUCAAAAUACUAAAAAAAAGUUUUUCAUACUAUCAAUGUUAUUGAAUUGCCUCUGCAUAUGAAUAUACUUCAUAAUAAAUGUGGGACUUCUCACCGCGAAUCUGAAUUUAGUUAAACCUCAAUGCAUGUACCGGACAUUGGGUGAAAACAAAAAAGGAUAGUAUGAAAAACUAUCCCAAGUGUUGCAAACCUAUUAGCUGGAACUGUCCUCGCACUGAAUGUAGAAAUGCAAUAUUGAUGGCUCCUCUAAUGAAAAUCCAGACCCCAGAUCGUGGACCUUUUUGUAUCAGAGAUAUUAUGGGAGAGUUAAUUUAUGCUACUACUAAUGUCAUGAAUCAUGAUUAACACUACUAGCCUAUGUGCUGAGGCUAAAGCAAUAGAAAAGGAGUUGGAAUAUUCUGUGAGCCAUCAAUACAACCUCUUAUAAUAGAGACUGAUUCAACCAAGUUGCGGAUUUUUUAGCUAAUUAUGUGUUCAUUAUCAAUAUCUACUAUAUGAAGCAAAGAAAUUAUUGAACAUUGAUAAGCAACAAGUUCCCGGGUGAUAUUUUAAAAAAAAGGCAGGAACUAGCAACAAGAACAACAAGCAGGCUACUCAAUCAACUAUCACAAUAGACUAUCCAUACAAAAUAUACAAAUCUUCAUGAGUACAACCAGAGUAAUAACAAAAUACAGAUGGUGAAAUUAACUUGACAAAUCCUCCAAAUAUUUUCUUAUCAAAAGUGGUAUCAAUCUCAAACAAGGUUCAAUCUUUUGGGGAGGAAAUAUUAGAGGACUAUCUCGGGGGUUUUUGACACUUUACUCGCUUCUUGGAAACUAUUUUGAGGAUGGUAACAUGUUACACCCCAACUUAGGGAUGCAACUAGCACCUGGUGCGACACUUGACCCUGAGUCGAUCCUUGCUGGACAACUACGCUACCAACAUAACACCAGCCACAAAAUCAAAAAAACAAACAAGUAUAUUUCAACUUAAAAAUAAGGCCUCUAUCGGCAAGGACCCUGUCAACAUAAUCUUCAAUAAACUCAACUACUCCCAGCAAUUCAUAUAGAAUAGAAACUAAAUCAUUUAUUGCCCGUCAAGGUCACUGUUAUAUCUAGAAACAUAUAAACUGAACACAUAUAGUCAUAUAUGAUUAAGGCCAACAAGCCACUAAGCUAAAAGGGCAAAACAACAAGGCCAGCAUAGCCAACAACACACAUCUAUUCAAUCGAAAGUUUGCAAGCCUCUAAGAGUAAUAUACUUGGUCGGGACCCUUAUACUUCCUGUCCCGACCUACCUAUUAGUUGAAUAUGACAAAACACUAGCAAACCUUUAAAUUUGGCAACUCUAGAAGAAAUAGAGCUGACCAAUCUUCUGGAACUCAGCUACACUAUUGAGGAGGCUUGUUUAGCUGUCUGUCAGGAUCUGCAGGCAAAAAUGCAGCACCCCUGCCCCAGGUAUGAGGCGUCAUUAUGAAUUGAUAUAUCGAGUAUAAAAGGCAAUAGAAUAACUGAGCAGGUAUCAUAAUGUACCAAAAGUAAUCAGGUAAGGAAGUCAAGAAUUAGAUGAGUGUACUGACCUGUAACACCUUAGAAUUUGGCAAGUGUGGUUUGGAAAGUGUCAUGGUUUUAACGGGCAGGUUCAUGGACAGUGAAGUGGUCCACGACCUGCCAACCCAUCCGUGAACCCUACUCCCCAAGGCUCAGGAGAACUUGAUCCCUCACGGACGCCUGAACGGUCUGUGGAAGGGUAAAUGUCCAGUUGAUAGGGCCGUGGUGAUUGGCAAUAAAAUCCCAUUUUUUCUCUCUUGUUCACAAUCACCUUCAUGGACCGUGAAGUGAUAACCGGUCCGUGAAGGCCUCCGUACAGGGGUCCCGUUAGCUUUUAAGUCAGGGCUAUUCUAGUAUUUUCCUAUGCGUCUAAUACCUAAGCUAUGUUGUUUUGACCCCUAUUCUAAGACCUAUAUAAGUAUUUUAAUUCCUAAAACUACCCAUUCUAAAAUCAUUCUCCUAAAAUCUCAAAUUCCCUUCAAGUUCUUCCCCCAAAUUCCUCUCUCUCAAGCAAAGAAAGAAAAAGCUAGGGUUUCACUUCAAGGUCUCCAAUUCACCAUAAAAUUUGGGCCUUGAUCAUCAAGAUAUGUUACUAUUCACCUAUGGAGUCUUUUCCUCCAUUGGGUUCCCAAAGGUCCCAAUUCUACAAGCUAAAUUUUCAAUUCAAAGUUAGGAUUUUAUUCAAAUUCCAUGAAUUCUUCUCAAUUAUGAUUCAAUUAGUUAUUUCCUAGCUUCUAAUGCAUGAAUUGAAGUAUUUACAUGAUUUUGAGUUGAAUUCAUAUGAACUCAUGCAUCCAUGAUUUUUACUAUGAACACAUGAUGAAACUUAUGAACUAUGCAAUAUGAAUAUAUGAAGAUAUGCAUGUUUUUGUGAAAUUAAUGUAUGACUUGAGGAUGCUUUAGAUGAAAGUAUCAAUAAGAUUGUGAAAAGUUUUCUCACAUGCUACUAUGAUCAUGAUUGUAAAAGGUUUUCUUACAUAAGGUUGAAAGGUUUUCUCACCUAACUUGAACUAAGAUUUAAGGAGCUAUUCUAAAUGACUUUAGCUUGGAUUGGUAGCUUAAACGUGCCUUUCCAUGGAUGAUGAAUAUGAUUAAUGACUAUUCUGUGGGAUUUUACUUAGCACCGAGAGGAUAUUGAGAUGGAGGCUCUCCAAUUAGUAGAGGUCGGGUCUCUAGUAGCAAUCUCCUUGUCCCUAACUACGUGCCCCCGUAGGAUUUCUUAGCUAGUGGAUCCACGUAAACUAGAAGUUUAUGGUCCUUACUUAGCAAGUAGGACAUCUCGAAAUAGACACCGGAUUUCAUGUUUUAGAGCACAUGUUCCAUAUCGGUUAAUGGAAAACAUCCCACAAUAAUGAACUAGAUUAUUUUCAAAGUAUCUCACCAAGUGUUUUAAAUAUGUUAACCUUGCAUUGACCAUGAUUAUGACUUGUGUUUCUAACACCGUAUCUUAUGCUUUAUCUUGGCUAUUGCAUAUCAUGUAAAGUCUUUUUAGCAUGAUUUCAUAUUGUUUGUGCAUUGUUAUCAUACUUAGUAUAUUCCAUGUACUAAUGUAUACUUGUGCCUAUAUUGUUUCCCUAAUGUAGGGUCCGAUGCUCCUACCUCGCAUACUUGUGGCUAGUUGAUCUCUCUUGUCGAUUUGAAGAUUGGUGAGUCAUCAUGUUCCGAGGACCAAGACACUUUUAUAGCUUUUCUUUAUUUCAGUUUUCAGACAUUGUACGUGGCGUAUGGGUUAUAUCCCAACCACUUCUUUUGAUGUAUUAGAUGGCUUGUUGAAACUAUGUUAGACUUCCGCUUUGUCAAAAAAAUUUAUGAUAUGAGAAUAUUUCUUUGAAAUCUUUAUUUCUAUUAUCUAGUAUGAUACAUGGUAAGUGACUAGCAUAGGGCCUCUCGGGGUUCUAUACGCUGUAUUACACCUAGGGUAUACUUUGGGUCGUGACAAACUUGGUAUUCAGAGCACAAGGUUUAGAAAGGUCCUAGGAUGGCUCACAAGCCACGUCAAGUAGAGUUUGUUCAUGAGUGUGAAGCGCACCAUAUUUAUGAAUAGGAGGUAAUAGCCUAUAAGAUGUUUAGGAAAUUCCACUUCUUUCUUUAUUCUAAAGUCGGGCGAUAGAGUAUAACUCUGUAUGUCUCUCUCAUAAUCCUUACCCGAUGCUUUUCGGGAUAUGGCUCCUCGAAGAGCCUACGUUAGAAGGAAUGCUGGAGAGAAUGUGGAAUAAGAAGCUCAUCAAUUUCUGGCCGACCCUUUUGCCGAACAAAUGACUAAUGCGGAGUUCUGAUUCGUUUUUCAUGUUUUGCCCUCAAGUUCAUAGGUAUUGCAAUCACAUAAGUUUUAUGUCAAACUAAUUGUAAUGAUGUGAAUAUCAACAAGGAGUGAUAUGCAGCUAAUUACAAAGCCAUUAAGGCAUCAACAACGUAAUGAGCUAUCAAUACCCCAUCUAAGCAAUGACAAUUUAUCCAAGAAGAUUCUUACGUCGCUUUUUAACAUGUAUCACCAACUAAACAAGAAUAAUCCCAAUAAGGAAAGCUCACAUGUAUACAUAUAUAUAACUCUAGCAACCAACUCCAUCAACAACUAUUAUGACUAUGAGUACUAUGGUGAUAAAGAACAAGUCGCAUUACCUAUACGACAAAGAAACUUGCCGAAAAAAGUUAAGCUUUAACAUACCUUUUUUCAUCGAAUUUACUCUGUCAUAUUACUUCUGCCCGCACCUUAUGAUACUCGCUGCAGACACCCAAAGAACUUUCAAGAACUCAAAACACAGCCAGAUCCCUACUGACACAACUUCCACAGAGCUACACCGCACAAUCCAC
RNAcentral lists this long non-coding RNA (8067 nucleotides) under Solanum tuberosum (potato). RNAcentral describes it as "long non-coding RNA (STUB_LNC008270)". Lineage: Eukaryota; Viridiplantae; Streptophyta; Magnoliopsida; Solanales; Solanaceae. The record is from RNAcentral.